AUUCUGUCCUCGUGACGUCGUUUUUGUCAAAGCUUGGAUAAGGUUGCAGUCUGAGCAUUUUCCCGCAGAGUGGAGCAUCCUGCUGUCGCGAGAGGAUCUUUGCAGCCGUGAGCGGCCGCAGCUCCCAGCUGCGGGUCUCAGUGACAGAGAGGAGCCGAGAGGAGAGGACAGAGGGACUAUUUCCAUUCACCUCCGCGGACAGGGGACGAGCUGCGGCUGCAGAUCCAGGAAGUGACAUCAAAAGAAGCUGACUUGACAACAAAUCCCAGAUGGCUCAUGGUAUCCAUGAAGAGGACCUGAUCAGACACGAAUUUCCAUCCUUUGGAUAUCACUUCCACUACUUAGCUAAGGGAUUGACAGGCUAAUUUUUCCUGUGAACACCUGGAGCUCAAGAGAUGUCACUUUCCCUUUUAUAUUUUUGUGAGAAGAUGAUUAUUGACAGGCGUCGUCCACUUUCUGCCGUGUUUUUGGUGGAAGAGCUUAGCUCGAGCUAACUCUUUUGUUGUUUGACGGUUUGAGAUGGACACCUAAAACCAAACGUUUUUGGAUGAAAGUACAAUGCUCCACACAGAUGCUUGGGAUUGUUCAGCAUAUCUGUGAUCUCUAAACAGUCCAUUGUAACGGGAACUGUGCAUGUUGUGCAGACAUCAUCAACACCAUGCGGCAUCUCUGACACAGAGGACAAAAACAGAAAGACACAUCUGGCCCCAGAAAACUGAUGGUUAAAUGGAGACCAGAAAUAAUCCAAAGCUGAUUCAGUGAGCAACAGGAGGGAAAACGCACCGUCUGGCUGCAGGGGGAGGAGCACUCAACCUGGGACUCUGUUCUGCUUUUAGUUGGUAUGGGUUUGAACGCCUGCUGACCGUCAAAAGGAAUGGUCAUGGGUUUGGUGAAACCUCCUGAUUGGAGCAUGCAGGGACAAGACCCAUCUUGAUUGACAAAUCAGAACUUAAUAAAAAAGUUUUCUCCCCCCCACUUACCUCUAGUGGGGGGGAGGGUGACGGGAGCUUCCUGUUUUGCGGUGUAGGACUUCAGAUUUUUAGUUGUAGAUUUUAGACGUUAGGUUUUAGGUGAUAGUCUAGACCUUAAGACGGCUUUAUUCUAUCCCUCCAGUGUUUAGUUCAUUUCAGUGUUUAGACUACUGUGCCCAGCAGUUAGGCAUUGUUUUUUUUUGAGUCAGCUAUUGGCUCUGCACCAGUGACUUACCCUGAUCUUACCGGCUCUUCAGUUUAUCACCCAGGAUUAGUUCAUCUUGGUCAGAAAACACAGAUCAGUCU
Molecule: long non-coding RNA, 1277 nt
Filed under: Oryzias javanicus (javanese ricefish)
Lineage: Eukaryota; Metazoa; Chordata; Actinopteri; Beloniformes; Adrianichthyidae
Description: lncRNA (ENSOJAG00000011203.1)
Source: RNAcentral